RNAcentral lists this unclassified non-coding RNA (246 nucleotides) under Hevea brasiliensis (rubber tree). Lineage: Eukaryota; Viridiplantae; Streptophyta; Magnoliopsida; Malpighiales; Euphorbiaceae. The record is from RNAcentral.
AAAUUCCACAGGAAUGCAAGAAAAUCAUAUUCAAUAUCAGGAAGAAAAAGCACUCUAAUUGCAACUCCUAUUGUCAUAGCAUAAGUAAGAUACAAUCACCAAGGAUGAAUAAGUGAGACCACAUGUUUGACAACAUCCAACACAAACAUUUCAUUUGUCUAAUUUUUAUGAGAAAAGAAAUCCAAUCGAGAAUGAAAGGAACGAGAAUACAAUCUAAAGCGUACAACUACAAACAAGAAAAUAAAG